ACUAAAUUGGCAGAUUAAUGUAGUGAAUUUAGAAUUCAUUAAUAUGAAUUUAUAUUCAUAUUUAGUA
This 67-nucleotide transfer RNA is filed under the name Hydroptila angulata. RNAcentral's name for it is "tRNA-Leu". Lineage: Eukaryota; Metazoa; Arthropoda; Insecta; Trichoptera; Hydroptilidae. The record is from RNAcentral.